CCCUGACCAAUCACUUUCCCUGACUUGUUUUCCUGAAAAUCACAAUUAUUUUUGUCAAAAGAGAUGUUCAAAUUUGCAUCUGAGGUUAAUUUACUCACUGAUAUUAAAUUAACCUUAAAUUGGGGUAUAAAAAGAACAUCUUUUAGAACAAUAUUUUCUGAUAUUGUGAUUUUUCCAAUUGAUUUUACUUUGCAAAUUUCACCACUAGGGAUGGUGACAAAGUGUUGAUGCUCUCCACUAGGAGGUUUAUCAAAAAAAUGCAAAUUCCCAGUCAUAUGUUGGGAAGCACC
Molecule: long non-coding RNA, 290 nt
Filed under: Zostera marina
Lineage: Eukaryota; Viridiplantae; Streptophyta; Magnoliopsida; Alismatales; Zosteraceae
Description: long non-coding RNA (ZMAR_LNC001243)
Source: RNAcentral